CAACCAUAUCACGUUAAAACACCGUUUUCCAUACGAUCACCGAAGUUAAGCAACGUCGAACCUGGUCAGUAUCUAGAUGGAUGAGAGCUUGGGAAUACCAGCUUCUGU
Non-coding RNA from Acanthosepion pharaonis, 108 nucleotides. NCBI's taxonomy places the organism in Eukaryota, Metazoa, Mollusca, Cephalopoda, Sepiida, Sepiidae. The record is from the annotation of a GenBank genome assembly.